Molecule: ribosomal RNA, 279 nt
Filed under: uncultured Glomus
Lineage: Eukaryota; Fungi; Glomeromycota; Glomeromycetes; Glomerales; Glomeraceae
Description: partial 18S small subunit ribosomal RNA
Rfam family: Eukaryotic small subunit ribosomal RNA
Source: RNAcentral
CCAAUAGCGUAUAUUAAAGUUGUUGCAGUUAAAAAGCUCGUAGUUGAAUUUCGGGACUAAUAUGUCGGUCGUACUUUGUACGUACUAGCAUUAUUGGUUUCUCCCUUCUGACGAACCACGAUGUCAUUAAUUUGGUGUCGCGGGAAAUCAGGACUGUUACUUUGAAAAAAUUAGAGUGUUUAAAGCAAGCUCGCGCUUGAAUACAUUAGCAUGGAAUAAUGAAAUAGGACGUUUGAUUCUAUUUUGUUGGUUUCUAGGAUCGACGUAAUGAUUAAUAGG